Long non-coding RNA from Corticium candelabrum, 168 nucleotides. RefSeq lists it as uncharacterized. The transcript is spliced from 3 exons. The record is from RefSeq and is a predicted model, not a curated record. NCBI's taxonomy places the organism in Eukaryota, Metazoa, Porifera, Homoscleromorpha, Homosclerophorida, Plakinidae.
CGAUGACUUGUUAUUACCUUCCCACUCUCAUCAGACGCACCACGGGUCUCCUAUGAAGAUAGCGUAUCAUUCUUGAAAAUCACUAUUGAAAAUUAAAAGUGCCUCGUUGUUUUGGUAAGGAACAGGACUGUUAAUUGGAUGCACUAAAGAUGUCACCUGAAUUAGUUA